CAACAUGCAACACUACUCAAUUAUCAAUCACAUCAAAUCAUCAUCAAAUAGCCUCAUCAUGCAAAUUAUUCAGUCAAACAUCUUCAGAAAAGUAUUCAAGCCAAGCAUACACACUAAAAUUAAAAUUCAACCUAUUCUAGGAAUUUAAAUGCAAAGGUGAAAGAGAUAACCUAGGUUGCCUCCUAGUAGCACUUGUUUAACGUCACGAACCUGACCCAAACCUGUCUAGCACUUGUCAGUAAGUGCAUACCUUCCCAACACCCAUAAGUAGGUGUACCUUCCUGGUAUCCUUCAGUAGAUACCUAAAUCUUCUAGCAUCCCUCAGUAGAUGCUACCCAAAAAAAAUGUUCAAAAAUACCAAUAUUUACAAAUCCAACUAAAAGAAAAGUAGUAUACAACAAUCACUAGGGUGCCUCCCAGUAAGCGCUCAUUUAACGUCAUUAGCUUGACCCGGUAGAGUUCAAACACCCAUCAGUAGGCGUUGAUACUCCUUUUGCUUACUAUUUUCUUCUUUUUCUUCUUCUUGCUGAAUCUCUUCAAAAAGUUGAUCAAACCAAGCACCGAUUUCCUUCCUAUGAUUUUUCUUUUUAUGAGGAAGGGGCUUUUCAUAUGAUCUUUUCUUUUUUCCUCUCUUCCUCUUUUUCUCAACCUUCUCCUUCUUCCACUUUCUUUUUUUCUUUUUUCUUAUUUUCUUAUUUUUUUCUUUUUUCUCAACCACUACUUUUUCUUUCUCCUUAUCUUUCUCUCCCUCACUCAACCUUUCUGCUUCAUCUUCCCCUAUUCUCUCCUCUUCUAUAUUUUCCACUUCUCUCUCUACCUUCUCCUUAUCAACAACCUCAUUAAUUUGUGUCUCCGAAUUCCUGAAGGUAACUUCAUAUCUCUUGGACGCAC
This 891-nucleotide long non-coding RNA is filed under the name Vigna radiata. RNAcentral's name for it is "long non-coding RNA (VRAD_LNC006125)". Lineage: Eukaryota; Viridiplantae; Streptophyta; Magnoliopsida; Fabales; Fabaceae. The record is from RNAcentral.